Molecule: ribosomal RNA, 484 nt
Filed under: uncultured bacterium
Lineage: Bacteria
Description: partial 16S ribosomal RNA
Rfam family: Bacterial small subunit ribosomal RNA
Source: RNAcentral
AUUGAACGCUGGCGGCAGGCCUAACACUUGCAAGUCGAACGGAAGCAGGGAGCAGGUUGCUGGUUCCAGCGGGGGACGGGGGCGUAAGGGCUAGGAAUGUGCAAGGGAGUGGGGGAUAAGGACAGCAAAUGGGAGCUAAUACCGCAUACGCAUAGAGGGAGAAAGUGGGGGAGCUUGGGAUCCGAGGCUAUCAGAUGAGCCUAGGUCGGAUUAGCUAGUUGGUGGGGUAAAGGCCUACCAAGGCGACGAUCCGUAACUGGUCUGAGAGGAUGAGCAGUCACACUGGAACUGAGACACGGUCCAGACUCCUACGGGAGGCAGCAGUGGGGAAUAUUGGACAAUGGGCGAAAGCCUGACCCAGCCAUGCCGCGUGUGUGAAGAAGGUCUUCGGAUUGUAAAGCACUUUAAGUGGGGAGGAAGGGAAGUAAGUUAAUACCUUGCUGUUUUGACGUUACCAGCAGAAUAAGCACCGGCUAACUUCGUG